GGUGAUUCCCUAUGGCGCCCAUUGUGCCCCUAUGGGGCCCUAUAUCUCCCUAUGGGGACCCAAUAUCUCCCUAUGGGGUCCCUAUGGGGCCCCAAUGUCUCUCUAUGGGGACCCUAUAUCUCCCUAUGGGGACCCUAUAUCUCCCCAUUGUGCCCCUAUGGGGCCCUAUAUCUCCCUAUGGGGUCCCUAUAGGGUCCCAUUGUGUCCCUAUGGGGUCCCUAUACCCCUAUGGGGCCCCAUUGUGUCCCUAUGGGGCCCUAUAGGAUCCAUAUUCCGCCCCACAGCUCUCCCCCCGGACCUGGUCCCGUUGCUGUCGGCCAUGUUGGAUCCUGACCCACGGCGCCGCCCCACAGCGGGAUCCCUAUUGAGGACGGAGCCCAUGAGGAGGGCGGCCAGAUGGCGGCCCUAUAGCCGGCUAUUGGAUGUGGGGCUCAGGAGGGGGGCCAGCAUCAUACAGAGCUGCAUGGCCGCCCUAUGGCACCUGUGGGCCUCGCUAUGGGGCUGGGCUAUGGGGCAGAGCUCCCCUAUCACCCCACCCCACAGCCCCCUCCGGCCCCACAUCGACCCAUGGGAUGAAGAAGAGGAAGAGGAGGAGGACGAGGCACCGUGGGGCCACAGCCCCCAUUGGAGCCCCACAACCUUCGGCCCCAUAGACACCCCACGGCAUCGCGGGAAGCCAUUGAGGUGAGUGCUGCCCCAUAGCUGCCCCAUAGACACCCCAUAGGUACCCCAUAGCUGCCCCAUUGCUGUCCCAUUGCAGCCCCAUAAAGACCCCAUAGACACCCCAUAGAUACCCCAUAGCUGCCCCAUAGAUACCCCAUAGCUGCCCCAUAGAGACCCAUAGAGCCCUAUAGUGACCCAUAGCUGCCCCAUAGAGACCCAUAGAGCCCUAUAGUGACCCAUAGUUGCCCCAUAGAGACCCAUAGUGACCCAUAGAGACCCAUAGCUGCCCCAUAGAGGCCCAUAGAGCCCUAUAGUGACCCAUAGCUGCCCCAUAGAGACCCAUAGAGCCCUAUAGUGACCCAUAGUUGCCCCAUAGAGACCCAUAGAGCCCUAUAGUGACCCAUAGCUGCCUUAUAGAGACCCUAUAGAGACCCAUAGCUGCCCUAUAGAGGCCCAUAGAGACCCAUAGUGACCCAUAGACACCCCAUAGCUGCCCCAUAGCUGCCCCAUAUCUGCCCCAUAGAUACCCCAUAGAUACCCCACAUCUGCCCCAUAGCUGCCCUAUAACCCUGCCCCAUAGCUGCCCCAUA
This 1253-nucleotide long non-coding RNA is filed under the name Coturnix japonica (Japanese quail). Its description in RNAcentral is "lncRNA (ENSCJPG00005001421.1)". Lineage: Eukaryota; Metazoa; Chordata; Aves; Galliformes; Phasianidae. The record is from RNAcentral.